This is a long non-coding RNA of Camelus dromedarius (Arabian camel), 2335 nucleotides long. RefSeq lists it as uncharacterized. The transcript has 3 exons. The record is from RefSeq and is a predicted model, not a curated record. Lineage: Eukaryota; Metazoa; Chordata; Mammalia; Artiodactyla; Camelidae.
AUGGACGAGUGCCUCACUGUCCCCUCAGGAGUACAUGGCGAAGAGCAGCGGAGAAGUGUUCACUACGAAGUUGGUGCUGUAUCUGUUCACGCACGUGCCCUGUGGAGGCUGGAGACACUGAGGGUUGCGAAACUCCAGUGCGAAAAGAUACCUGCAUCCCAGUAUUCAUAGCACCACUAUAUACAACAGUCAAGACAUGGAAGCAACCUAUAGAAGCAACAGAUGACUGGAUAAAGAAGAUGUGGCGUAUUUCUACAAUGGAAUACUACUCUGCCAUAAAAAGGGAUAAAAUAAUGCCAUUUGCAGCAACAUGAAUGGACAUAGAGAUCGUCAUUCUAAGUGAAGUGAGCCAUAAAGAGAAAGAAAAAUACUGUAUGAUACUACUGAUAUGUGCAAUGUUAAAAAAAAAAGACACUAGGAAUUCAUCUACAAAACAGAAAGAGACUUGCAGACUUAGUAAAUAAUUGUAUGGUUGUAUGGUCACCAGGGAAAGGAGGUGGGAAGGGAUAAAUUUGGGAGUUUUUAUAUAUGGUGGCUAACAUUUACACAUGUUAACCACUAUAUAUAAAAAUAGAUUAAAAAAAUGCUUCUUAUGUAUAGCACAGAAACAUAUGUUCAGUAUCUGGUAGUAACCUGUAAUGGAAAAGCUGCUACAACCACCAACUGAGGAAGCAAGAAAAGAAAGGAGAGGUAGUUAUCCCGGGCUAGAGCCCAGUCCUGGGAAAGUCCUUGACUGCUGCUGAUGCUGCCCCCUCAAUGCACUGCGCCCUCCUCCCAGGAGCAGGCUGACAUGAAGACAUGCAUCCUGUGAACCUGGGGUAGCAGAGGCCGCCCCCAGGACAGGCCCUAGGACAGAUGGGAGCUAGUCCACCUGCUGAGGGAGGGCAGCACCCCUCCCUGUAGCCGCCCUCUGACUGCACGGUGCCUACCUCCCUGUGGCCUCUGUAACAUUGCUUUUGGUUUUGUUUUGACAUAGGAAGAGCUAAGCGUCUCCCUUCUGGCUGUGGCUUCACACUUAGAACAGCAGUGCCUACCCCAAGAUUAUGCACAGAGUUAGUAUAGUUACUAAAAGGGCUUCAUUUUGUGCAUCUCAUCUUUAAUCCAUCUGGAUUUUCCCUCUCAAUACAAAAAUGCGAAUUCAUGUAAAAAAUAAUUCACCAGUCCCUGCUUCAGAUAUGUAGGCAGACACAAAAAGCCACCUUUUGUAUGAAUUCUUUGAUAGGGAAUCUCCAGGAUGGGUGGAGAGAGAGAGAAAGAGAAUGGGGAUUAGGCCUUGUCUUGGGCUGGGGGAGGGAGGACAUGGGUUGUGCUUUGGAUACAAGCUUUUACGUUGAGGAAGGAAGUAGUCUGAAACCAGACAGUGGUGUUGGUCUCACAGCAUUGUAAAUGCAUUUAAUGCUCUUGAAUUGCACAAUUUAAAAUGGAAAAAGGCUGAACUUCAUAAUUGUAAACUUAAACCAUAAAAAUAGAAUAUACUGUAAAAGAAAAUAAGAAAUUGACUCCAUAUUAGAUAUGCUCUUUUGGCUUAAACACUGCCUUGUUUUCUAGGCUUAGUCUUGCUAGCUCUGCACCUUUUGUAAAACAAUGUUGCCUUUAGCCUGAAAUAGACAGGAGAGCCUAUUCUCAAGGCUCUGACCUUGAAGGAUAUUAACCCUUUUGCACUAACAUAAAGACAACCAUUUGCAGAAUAGAAAAUAACAUUUAUUUUGUUAGAGGUUUUACAGGGCCAGCAUGACCUGACCAACGUGGACAGCUGCAGACCAAGUUAAUGGCAGACUUACGUCCUGGAGAACCAUCUUCCCCAAGUCAGACUGCAGGCUCCUUUUCUAGUAAAAGGGGGAGGGGAUGUGGUUGGUUGUUGCAAACUUCUUGGUGUAGGACUUUUCAUGUUCUUGGAAUCCUUUGCAGCUGUCCACAUGGGUCAGGUCACGGUGCCCCUGUAAAACCUCCAACAAAACAAAGGUUAUUUUCUAUUUUGCAACUUGUUAUCUUUAUAGGAGUGCAAAAGUGUUAAUAUCCUUAAAGGUCAGAGCCUUGAGAAUAGGCUCUCCUGUGUAUUUCAGGCUAAAGGCAACAUUGUUUUACACAAGGUGCAGAGCUGGCAAGACUGAGCCUAGAAAACAGGACAGAGUGUUAAAAUAAAAGGAACAGAUCUAAUACGGAGUCAGAUUUUUUCUACUACGUAGUGCCUUGGUAAGAGGUAAGAGGAUAUUUCUGAGUGGGGCUUCCUCUGCCUCAGGUUGGGGUUCACGCAGGAGCCCUGCCAGGUUCACCAUAACUGUGGACCUGAUCUCCUAUUAUAAUUACCUAUCAAAGUCCCUUCAAUUGCCUGUAA